ACCCUCAGACGGCGACGCGCCUUCCGGCCUUCCCCUGCCGCCGCCUCCUCCCUCGCGACGCCUCCUCCCCCCGACGCUGCCUCCUCCGCCUCUCCCAGGCAGACGGCGACGUUGGCCCCUGCUCCGGACGGCCAGGCGCGGGUUUCCUCUCGAUCCAAUUGAGAUCCGGCGACUGCUCUCCCUGCGCGGAUCACACGAUCCUUUCUCGCGCUUCCACGCACCCACGAUCCUCUCUCGGUUCCUCCGCAACGCGGCCGCCAACUCGACGCCGCCGUCCUCGCCGCGGCGCGGAUCGACGCCGGAGUCCUCGCCGCGCCGCACCUCGCGGGUGCCGCCUCGGUUCGAUUCCGCUGCCCUCCGCCUUGGGUCGACGCCGCUGUCCACGCCUCCGCCGCGAGCCGCGGCUGCCGUUCUCGCCGACGCCGCAGUCGUCGCCUCGCCGCGCCGCGCCGCGCGGCCAACGACUCAGAUCGACCACGACGUGCUCGCCACGUCUAGGUCCAGCUCGUGUGGCCGCAGUUCGAUCGUGCCCUAUCCCUUUUCCAGGUUGUUUCACAGCUUCGAUCGUGCGCCGGUGUUGCAGUUCGUUCGCCGCUGCCUUGCCUGGUGUUCUUCAGCGGUACUGAGCCUCAGGGGGUGUGGGUGUUGACGUCGUGUCUGAUACCGAACACAGACAUGGAUCCGAAUGAUGGAAAGAUGGGGAGGUUGCCAUUUGGGGACAUCACAAAUAUCAGUGUACUCGGUGCACAAAACCUCCAUGGUAAUGAGCUAAAAAGGCAAAGGGAAAGGUUAUGUGCCAGUGGUUUGUCUCAGGAACAGAGGGAUGAAGGUAACAAGCGACGUCGAGAGGCAUAUGCAAAGAAAAAAAAUCAAAAACAAACGGGGGCUACAAGUAAUGCCACUCACCAGUCUAAACAAGGCCAUGUUGCAGAUGUGCUGAUGAUGAUUCUUGCAGGAGAUGGUAUAAGUAGAACUAAAACUUGAUAUUGUCUAAGUAAUUAGCAUCUCAGCUAUAUAUUUGACAGUAUGGAGAUGGCCACGCCGAGAGCAACACCCACUGCAUGAAGACCUCUUCCUUAUCCACUACACUAUCUCUCACCAUAAUCUUGCCGUGGGUUGUGCACCAGAAUUUUGUGGAAAUUAGGUGAAGCAUGGCUUCAAGGAGGCCCCAACGGAGGCGCAAACCCCCUCCGAACCCGACCGCGAAUUCUCCUUGCAGCUUCCGCCGUCCGCAGCCGCAGCCGCCGUGGUGUCCAUCCCUUCGAUGAGGUACAAACAACUCCACACCUCGUCGGUUUCGCCGGAGCCCGGAGGAUUUUAUUUUUGUUUUUUGGUUGGGAUGAUUAAUUCUCCGUGUUCGUGGUGGGUGAGGUUGCUAUAGGUUAAUUCUUUCCUAGAGAAGGUUGCUACUCAGAUUAGCAUGUUCUUCAUUAGACGAUUCUGUAUAGAUUUUCUGUAAAGAAUCUGCUUUCACUGUUUCAAGCCUGGACAUAGUUUACUGUUGAUACUUAUUCAUUACUUUCUUCAGCAGUGCUUUUCUAAAUAACUUCUAAAGUCUACAGGAAAGUACUUGUGCUUUCUUUGAGCAUCUAAAAAUGUGCAUUCCAAAUAGCCUCAAGAAGUGAAAGUGUUCCUCAUGUCAGUUUUCUAGGAUUUAAUAGAUUUUUCUAGCAGAAAUAUCAUAUUGUUUGUGCCAUGUUGCAUCUCUCUGCUACCUGCAACGUGUUAAAAAAAGUUAAAACACCAUGCAUUUAUCAGUAAAUUAUUGUUUCAGGAAAGGAUAAGAUACAUUUAUUGGGUUUUGGGUAUAAUGUUUCUUCAACCAUGAUUACUUGCAGGUUAAAUUUGAUCGCUUAUAAAAUGAAUCUCGACUCCAAGAUCAUGAUGUUCUUGCUGCUAUUGUUCCAUGAUGUGUGUGUUAAUUUAAUACGAUAAUUAUUAGUCCAUUGUUCAUGCUGUUAUUGUUCCAUGACUCCAAGAAAUAAAUUAACUAUGGACCGAUGCAUACUACAGUAUAGCAAGAUCCUCACCAUAAUUAUUAGUCCAUUGUUAAGUAGGAAGCAGGUGCCUGCAGCCUAACAUUGACACGGUUCCUGUAAAACAUAAUUUGCAAUCUGUCCUCUUGCAUAUGAAUUUGAACUUAUAUAGAAAAUAUGGCUUUUGCAGUAAUUUGUGUCCUGUUUGGAUAAGGUCUGACAGCUUCCUUCUUCUCUUUGCCAGAACAGUUUGGAUUUAAGAUGUUCUUUGGUGUGACUGACUGCAACUAUAAUGGUUCAGUAGCCCUGUGUUCAUGACUCAGAUUUAAAUUACAUUACAUUACUAUGCGCCGAAAACACUUCAAAUCAUACCUGUGCGUAUCCAGAUGAAGAAACAUUAUAGAUAAAUAGCAUUAUAACCUUACAGGCAAGCAACCAAAUAACCAAUUCAUGAUUUGGGAUAUAAGAUAUCUCCCAUUGUCUCGGCUUGAUGGUCUGAUGGUCUGAUUUGUACACUGGGUCUUGAGGCAUGGAAGGGACUAUCAGACCAUCAAGCCGACUUAGAACAGCUUGAACAGCUUGUCUCUGCUUGUAGGUCAGAUUUGGAUAUCACUUCUGAAUUUAGAUUUUAUCACUUCACUUCUGAAUUUGUAUUUCUCUUUCAAUUAAGUACAGUGCGGGCAGAAACACAAUUGAUCUUAAAUGGCUGAUUUCAUGUGGUCGGUGGAGAUGGAAACCAUUUCUACUCCAAAUCAAUUGGACACUACGCAUUGGUGAUGGAAGCCUCUAGCAAACAUCACUGCCCAGCACCAGUUGCUUCGCUGUUCUGUGGUGGCUUGAAGGAUGUUUGCCGGUUAUCUCUGCCCGAGGGCCCUGCACUAACAUUGCUAAUCAUGCCGCGAUGUCAACUCCACCUAACACAAGGAGAGCUGCAUAUCAUUGCAUUAAGAAGAGGAAAAAGGCCAAAAUAGCCAAAGUACAUAUAUGCAUAUUCUUCCUUCCGGUUUUCAAGUGAAAACAUAUUCUUACUAAAAUUAAGAUUCUAAAUGUCUGGGUGCAUCCAAUAGAUGUUGCUCGUCUAGGGAGGCAUCGGCCACAAUGCCUGAGAAGCACCUCUAGGAUAUGAUUGCAUCAGCCACAAGUGUUGACUCAAAAUCGCCUAAUUGAGGACAACUGACCAUGAGGGGCUCACGGCUGAGGUAUUAGGUUGGAGCAGACAAUAUCAUCUUGGAACAAAUGGCCUGUCUAGCAUUGUACCCAGCACCAAGAGUCUCGACACGGAGAUUUUGUCCCUCGACCUUCAAUGGGCUCUGAUUAUAAGUCUAGAAAAUUUGGAGAUUUUAUUUUGCUUGCAGAUGCAGUGUUUAUAAAAGACGGGCGUCGUGGCGCUUGUUAAUGGACAAGUUCUAUACAUACAAGGAAUAUUCAUGAUGAUCUGAUUGUUUCCAGAUCGUAGCAUUAAGUAGUCUAAGUUGUUACUUGGCAUAAAAGUCAAUGAACAUGGUGACAAGAGAAUAUACUGAUUUUUUUAUUGCCUAA
Panicum virgatum (switchgrass) is the source of this 3515-nucleotide long non-coding RNA. RefSeq lists it as uncharacterized. The transcript is spliced from 9 exons. NCBI's taxonomy places the organism in Eukaryota, Viridiplantae, Streptophyta, Magnoliopsida, Poales, Poaceae. The record is from RefSeq and is a predicted model, not a curated record.